This is a non-coding RNA of Zonotrichia albicollis (white-throated sparrow), 948 nucleotides long. The record is from RefSeq and is a predicted model, not a curated record. NCBI's taxonomy places the organism in Eukaryota, Metazoa, Chordata, Aves, Passeriformes, Passerellidae.
UGUCAGUAGAAGUUUGUGUUCAAUUUGGUGCAAGUCAUCUGCCUUGUGAGCCUAUCUGAUACUUGGAUCAAAGCUGAAAUGCAGUCAGAAGGAAAGAAGGAAGUGUUCAGAAGAAUUGAAACAAGGCUGGAUUCUCAGAAACACAAAGACAAAUCCAUUUCCUCCAAGCUGAUGCAACUCUGAAGAUGCCAGGAUGCUUCUGGGAAGGACAGACUCAUUUCCACUCAGCUUGCUUGGGGAGUUGUAGCUGAUCAUGUUCCGAAUCUGGAGCCUGAGACACUUAGAAACGACACUGAUUCUUUCAAGAAAUGCCCAAACUCAUCAAAAGUUGCCAGGGUUGGUGAGGUCCUGUGUCUCCUUCCACCCUCUGCUGUGCCUGCCAGCAUAGAUCAGCAAGGGUCAGCUACAGUAGGAGGCCUGGUAAUGCAGAAAUCUGCAAGUUGGGAGCAACACUGAUUUUCCUGGCAGUGGCUUGCUGGCAUAUGUACAGGAGCUUUUGUUAGCUGUCAGCCUGAAUGGAAUGUCAAUCAUUCCCUUGGAGCCUGAUCUUCAGAUCACUGCACUUUUGGGCUUUUGCCUUCGUCUUCAUAGAGCAGUAACUCAGGUCUGUAGAAGCUGGAAGCCUUAUUUUUUGUUAAGAAGCCCUUGUGAUAUUUAGUCCCCAUGUGGUUUUUUUUUUCAAACUCUACAGAAAAGUUUGAACCCUUUGCAACUGAUAUGCUACCAGUUUUUUUAAUGGGACAGUUUGGAUCACUUACCAUGCUCUGGGUCAUCUGUCACUUUUGCUGGCAGGAGCCAGAUUUCCAGAGUGGAAGUGGGAUGAGUUGCUAAGGAAUGUGUUGUGCUCUAUAUCAUUUCUGCAUUCACUGAUGUGCAACAGAUUUAUCUGUGUAGUUCAAGGCCUCUCUGUACCAGAUGAGUUUGUAUUGAAAUCUCAGACCGUCCCAC